AUGUGCUACUCGGUCCCCAUUUGUCAUUUGUUCAAACGACAUUUAUUCAAAUCUGCAAAUGACGUUUGGAGAACAGCCCUGCUGUGCCUCUCCGCCCCCCUCCCAUGGCCGCCUCCACGGCAGGGUCGGCCCCUCCGCACAGGGGCUCCGCACGCAGCCGGGCCGGCCGGAGGUGAGCCAGACUCCCCUCGCUGGGACCAGCACGCGGCUCCCACCUGCGGCUCUUCCAGCCGCACCCCAAAUCCCCUCGUGAGGCGCCCCUCGGGCCCCCGGCCGCCCUGCCCCCGUGACCGAGGCUCGCUGGGGUCCCUCAGCAUUCCUGCUCCGGGGCAGCGCGGAAGCCGGACCAGGCCGCUGCGGCCUCGCCUCACUUCCCACUCCAGGGCCCGGCUCCCGCGUCAGCCGAAGAGUCGGGGCGACGGGCAGAGGCUCCGCCGCCGCCUCCCAGCUCAUCUGCCCGAGAUGCGCGCCGGCUGCGCGGCUGCGCGGCGCCCUGACUGUCGCCCACCGUCCUCUCCCUCCCCUGCCGACGACCUCCUCGCUGUGUGGCCUCGACUUCCUCCCAGGACCCGACAAAGAACAAACACCCAGAAACACCUCCAAACCCGCCUGUGCCCCGCUCACUGCCGCGUCCCGAGGACGCCCUCCCGCUUCCCCCUCAGCCCCUCACCCCCAGCCUCCAGGGCGCGGGCGACCGCUGAGCCCAGACCCAGUCCGGCGGCCCAGUCAGGCGGCCCAGUGCGGUGCCUUCCGAGCCCGUCCCUCCACAGACAGGCAGGCAGGCAAACAGGCAGACACACACACACACAAGACACACAGACACACACACACACACAGACACACACACAGACAGGCAAACACACACAGACACACAGACACACACACACGCAGACAGACACAGACAGGCAAAUACACAGACACACACACACAGACACACAGACACACACACACACAGACACACACAGAGACACAGACACAAGACACACACAAAAACAAAGACACACACAGACACACACAGAGACACAGACACAGACACAAGACACACACACAAAGACACACACAGACACACACACAGACACACACACACAGACACACAGAGAGACACACACAGACACCCAUACACACACACAGGCACAGACACACAAACCGACAUACACACAGACACGCACACACAGACACACACACAGAGACACACAAACACACAUACACACACAGACAUACUACACACAUAGACACACACAUACACACACACACAGACACACACAGACACACACACAGAGGCACACACAGAGGCAGACACACACACACAGAGACAGACAUACACACAGACUGACACAGACACACACAGAAACACACACACAGAUGCACAAACACAGAUACACACGCUGA
This 1389-nucleotide long non-coding RNA is filed under the name Bos indicus x Bos taurus (hybrid cattle). RNAcentral's name for it is "lncRNA (ENSBIXG00005020709.1)". The record is from RNAcentral. Lineage: Eukaryota; Metazoa; Chordata; Mammalia; Artiodactyla; Bovidae.